RNAcentral lists this transfer RNA (70 nucleotides) under Dipodomys ordii (Ord's kangaroo rat). It matches the Rfam family "tRNA". Rfam says of the family: Transfer RNA (tRNA) molecules are approximately 80 nucleotides in length. The record is from Rfam by way of RNAcentral. Lineage: Eukaryota; Metazoa; Chordata; Mammalia; Rodentia; Heteromyidae.
GGGAAUGUGGCUUAGUGGUAGAGUGCUUGCCUAGCAUGCUUGAAGCCCUGGGUUCGAUUCCUCAGUACCA